GCUUGUAGUUGCUCAGUUGGUAGAGCAUGCGAUUCCUAAUCUCAGGGUCAUGGGUUUGAGCCCCACACUGGGCA
Non-coding RNA from Podarcis lilfordi (Lilford's wall lizard), 74 nucleotides. NCBI's taxonomy places the organism in Eukaryota, Metazoa, Chordata, Lepidosauria, Squamata, Lacertidae. The record is from the annotation of a GenBank genome assembly.